This is a long non-coding RNA of Papaver somniferum (opium poppy), 650 nucleotides long. RefSeq lists it as uncharacterized. The transcript is spliced from 3 exons. Lineage: Eukaryota; Viridiplantae; Streptophyta; Magnoliopsida; Ranunculales; Papaveraceae. The record is from RefSeq and is a predicted model, not a curated record.
AUCGAAAGAAGGUUUUUGUUUCGGCUUUAGCUUCAUCAUCAAACAUCAUUAAUAGAUCAAUCAUCAAUCAGACCAAGAAGACGAUAAGGAGCUGUGCCACUACUACCACAUCAUCAAAUGGGCGAGGGGGAUUCGUAGUAAAAUACGAGGAUAUGGAAUCAGAAGAAAGUAUGAUGGGUUUAUACGAAAGGUGGAUGGAACAUUACCAGAUUUACAGAAACGGCGAGGAGAAGAAUAGACGCUUUCAAGUGUUCAAGGACUGUGUGAAACGAUUCCGCUCAGCCAACUGUUUUGCAGACAUGUCCGAUAAAGAGUUCAGUAAAAGACUAAUUAAAAAUUGGGAUUUUGGAAAGUCAAGAGCUAGGUUCUUAACUCCCAAAAAUGAGUGACCUUGCUGCAGUGAUGUUGUAUGGGCAUGCUCUAUCUCUGCGGUCUAGAAAAAUUAUUUUUAAUAAUCUUGCUGAUAAUCAUAAAGACCUUCACGUAGAGGAAGAAUAAUGCGAGCAUUUCUGCAUCUUGUGGUUUGUCAUCAAGAACUAUAAACUUUACUUUCAAAUAAUGAGGUAAUUGAAGAAGCUAUGUUCUACCAGUGUAUCUCUGAAACUCAGCAUUAUUUGGGAGAUAACCAAAAUUAUUAGCUUUACAUGUUU